CAGUAGCCACGGUAAUACGAAGGGGGCUAGCGUUGUUCGGAUUUACUGGGCGUAAAGCGCACGUAGGCGGAUCGAUCAGUCUGGGGUGAAAUCCCAGAGCUCAACUCUGGAACUGCCUCUGAUACUGUCGAUCUGGAGUAUGUAAGAGGUGAGUGGAAUUCCGAGUGUAGAGGUGAAAUUCGUAGAUAUUCGGAGGAACACCAGUGGCGAAGGCGGCUCACUGGUCCAUUACUGACGCUGAGGUGCGAAAGCGUGGGGAGCAAACAGGAUUAGAUACCCGCGUAGUCCCUGUCUCUUAUAC
This 301-nucleotide ribosomal RNA is filed under the name uncultured bacterium. Its description in RNAcentral is "partial 16S ribosomal RNA". It matches the Rfam family "Bacterial small subunit ribosomal RNA", at positions 509 to 807 of the family's 1533-position model. The record is from RNAcentral.